CGGUGGUUUUGGCGAGGGGGAAACACCCGGUCCCAUUCCGAACCCGGAAGUUAAGCCUCUCAGCGCCGAUGGUACUGCAUGGGAGACUGUGUGGGAGAGUAGGACACCGCCGGACC
This 116-nucleotide ribosomal RNA is filed under the name Actinomadura madurae. Lineage: Bacteria; Bacillati; Actinomycetota; Actinomycetes; Streptosporangiales; Thermomonosporaceae. The record is from RNAcentral.